UUGACAGAAGAGAGUGAGCACACAAAGGCACAUGUAUAAGCGCAUACUUUGCUUUUGCGUGCUCACUUCUCUUUCUGUCAG
Non-coding RNA from Gossypium raimondii (Peruvian cotton), 81 nucleotides. NCBI's taxonomy places the organism in Eukaryota, Viridiplantae, Streptophyta, Magnoliopsida, Malvales, Malvaceae. The record is from Rfam.